Molecule: non-coding RNA, 885 nt
Organism: Ictidomys tridecemlineatus (thirteen-lined ground squirrel)
Lineage: Eukaryota; Metazoa; Chordata; Mammalia; Rodentia; Sciuridae
Source: RefSeq, a predicted model, not a curated record
CUCUCUCUCCCCCCGCCCCGCCCCCCUCAUGAGUCAAGAGGGCCAACUGGCGCUUGCACAGAGUGAGGGCGUGGCUCCGAAGGGAAUGACACGGGUGCCGGCGACCAUCCAGCUGACACAAGCGCCCCGCCCUGGGCGCACCCUACAGAGCUCGGACCGAGAAGCCCAGGGCGUUGUUCAGGCUGCUGGUGGGUGACCUGGUUGGCUUACUUUGGCCACGAAGAGUUCCAUUCUCAAAGCGGAUUUCCUAGCAGAUGGCAGCUACUUCUGUUCACCACUACCAUGUUUGAAGGAUACAGGAGCUAACUUUCUGGAAUUAACUGGCAUAGGAAAGAAGGAAAAGAGAUGCAAAGUUUCCAUGGGGCCAGAAAUAACCUUCUUCACACUUACGAAAGUCAUUUCUCCAGGUCUGCAGAAAAGAACAUUUACAUCUGGAAAGGAAAGGGUUAAGAACCAGGAGCUCAAACAAGAGAAUCAAGUAUUACAGAGCAAAGUGAUCCAUUAGAUGCCACCUCACCUGGUUUCCAGAAAGAGGUGAAGUAAAAUGGUGACUAUGGAGGUUUCGGCCAGUGUUGACAUGUGUCAGUCGGAUGGGCUGGCCACAUUUGAUGGGGGUUCCCCUUUCACACACCGUGGCAGUCUUCCCCCGUAUCCUCCAGUAACUGUUGCUGUCAUCCACAGAGGUUACACCUGUCACUGACUGCUGGCCACUACCUACAGUCAAAAACAGAAAAAAAAAGAGAGAGCAAGUAAACUCAACCUAAUUCUAUGGCUCUAAAAAUGUGCUCUGUGUCAUAAAACUGGCAGGAGGGAUGGGGAGGGAACAUUACAGCUGGUAAUAUUUUUUCUAUGACAUUAAAAUAAAAUAUUUAUGAAAAUAUUAAA